AGACUGAUGGCGACCGGCGCACGGGUGAGUAACACGUAUCCAACCUGCCGUCUACUCUUGGACAGCCUUCUGAAAGGAAGAUUAAUACAAGAUGGCAUCAUGAGUCCACAUGUUCACAUGAUUAAAGGUAUUCCGGUAGACGAUGGGGAUGCGUUCCAUUAGGUAGUAGGCGGGGUAACGGCCCACCUAGUCUUCGAUGGAUAGGGGUUCUGAGAGGAAGGUCCCCCACAUUGGAACUGAGACACGGUCCAAACUCCUACGGGAGGCAGCAGUGAGGAAUAUUGGUCAAUGGGCGAGAGCCUGAACCAGCCAAGUAGCGUGAAGGAUGACUGCCCUAUGGGUUGU
Molecule: ribosomal RNA, 345 nt
Filed under: uncultured bacterium
Lineage: Bacteria
Description: bacterial SSU rRNA
Rfam family: Bacterial small subunit ribosomal RNA
Source: RNAcentral